AGAGUUUGAUCCUGGCUCAGGAUGAACGCUAGCUACAGGCUUAACACAUGCAAGUCGAGGGGCAGCAUGAUUGAAGCUUGCUUCAAUUGAUGGCGACCGGCGCACGGGUGAGUAACACGUAUCCAACCUACCGUUUACACAUGGAUAGCCUUUCGAAAGAAAGAUUAAUACAUGAUGGUUUAUGUGAACUGCAUGGUUUAUAUAAUAAAGAUUAAUCGGUAAACGCUGGGGAUGCGUUCCAUUAGAUAGUAGGCGGGGUAACGGCCCACCUAGUCGACGAUGGAUAGGGGUUCUGAGAGGAAGGUCCCCCACAUUGGAACUGAGACACGGUCCAAACUCCUACGGGAGGCAGCAGUGAGGAAUAUUGGUCAAUGGACGAGAGUCUGAACCAGCCAAGUAGCGUGAAGGAAUACUGCCCUAUGGGUUUUAAACUUCUUUUAUAAGGGAAUAAAGUCGCUCACGUGUGAGUGUUUGUAUGUACCUUAUGAAUAAGCAUCGGCUAACUCCGUGCCAGCAGCCGCGGUAAUACGGAGGAUGCGAGCGUUAUCCGGAUUUAUUGGGUUUAAAGGGUGCGUAGGCCGUGUUUUAAGUCAGCGGUGAAAAGUUGCAGCUCAACUGUAACCGUGCCGUUGAUACUGAGACACUUGAGUGCAGACAAGGCAGGCGGAACUCGUAGUGUAGCGGUGAAAUGCUUAGAUAUUACGAAGAACUCCGAUUGCGAAGGCAGCUUGCCGGACUGCAACUGACGCUGAAGCACGAAAGUGUGGUUAUCAAACAGGAUUAGAUACCCUGGUAGUCCACACCGUAAACGAUGAAUACUCGCUGUUGGCGAUAUAAUGUCAGCGGCCACGCGAAAGCAUUAAGUAUUCCACCUGGGGAGUACGCCGGCAACGGUGAAACUCAAAGGAAUUGACGGGGGCCCGCACAAGCGGAGGAACAUGUGGUUUAAUUCGAUGAUACGCGAGGAACCUUACCCGGGCUUGAAUUGCAUCUGACGUACCUUGAAAGAGGUAUUUCUUCGGACAGAUGUGAAGGUGCUGCAUGGUUGUCGUCAGCUCGUGCCGUGAGGUGUCGGCUUAAGUGCCAUAACGAGCGCAACCCUUGUCAUCAGUUACUAGCAGGUCAAGCUGAGGACUCUGAUGAGACUGCCAUCGCAAGAUGUGAGGAAGGGAGGGAUGACGUCAAAUCAGCACGGCCCUUACGUCCGGGGCUACACACGUGUUACAAUGGGAGGUACAAUAGGCCGCUACCCGGCGACGGGAUGUCAAUCCCCAAAUCCUCUCUCAGUUCGGACUGGAGUCUGCAACCCGACUCCACGAAGCUGGAUUCGCUAGUAAUCGCGCAUCAGCCACGGCGCGGUGAAUACGUUCCCGGGCCUUGUACACACCGCCCGUCAAGCCAUGGGAGUCGUUGGUACCUGAAGUGCGUGACCGCAAGGAUCGCCCUAAGGUAAAUUCGAUGACUGGGGCUAAGUCGUAACAAGGUAACC
This 1489-nucleotide ribosomal RNA is filed under the name uncultured bacterium. RNAcentral's name for it is "bacterial SSU rRNA". It matches the Rfam family "Bacterial small subunit ribosomal RNA". The record is from RNAcentral.